This 301-nucleotide ribosomal RNA is filed under the name bacterium enrichment culture clone ALO1_GLFRUDD03HEMN2. RNAcentral describes it as "bacterial SSU rRNA". It matches the Rfam family "Bacterial small subunit ribosomal RNA", at positions 9 to 310 of the family's 1533-position model. The record is from RNAcentral.
GAGUUUGAUCAUGGCUCAGAUUGAACGCUGGCGGCAUGCCUUACACAUGCAAGUCGAACGGCAGCACGGGAGCUUGCUCCUGGUGGCGAGUGGCGAACGGGUGAGUAAUGCAUCGGAACGUAUCCUGGAUGGGGGAUAACGUAGCGAAAGUUACGCUAAUACCGCAUAUUCUGUGAGCAGGAAAGCGGGGGACCUUCGGGCCUCGCGCUCUUGGAGCGGCCGAUGUCGGAUUAGCUAGUUAGGUGAGGUAAAGGCUCACCAAGGCGACGAUCCGUAGCAGGUCUGAGAGGAUGAUCUGCCA